CACUUUAGAAUAACAUUUGCAAGGCAUAAAAUCAACCGUUAGGAUUAACUGUAGAAAUUAACAGCUCCGAAUUUCCUAUCAGUUGUCCAAUUCUGAAGAGAAAGAGAUGAGGAUUUUGCUAAACUUUUCUCCCCCCAUAAGUGAGCAGUUUCAGAAUACUAUACUUUUACAUUUUGAAUGAUGGGAGAACACAGUAUAACUGUCUGCUCAGCUUCUUGUCUGAGCUCAUUCAUAUAAUCUUUAGUUUGGAAGUUGUUUUGGAAAUGAAGUAAAACUUGAAGAAGUGAGUCUGUGUGUUUGUGUGUGAUAUAGUAAUCACUCCUUUUUUGGCAAAAUAUUAUAAAACACAGGAUUGCAGACAUUACAUACUCUGUCUACUGUUUCCAAGACACUAAUUUGUUGCAUGUAGUUUGACAGACCCAUAAUUUAAAACUGAAGUAUUUAAGCGGUAUUAGAGGGAGGGUCAAAUUCUGCCCUGGGUUCAGAUGUUGCAUAGGAGACUAAAAAUUAUUUCCUUAGCAGAUAAGGAUGCUUGCCACUGUGCUGAGAGAGGGACAAAUGCUACAUGGCUCAAAAGAUGCUGAGCAACUGCUAUCUCUUCGCUCGUCAUGCUGAUACCAAUAUACGCUUACAUCCGCUUACAGAAGACGACAGUCUAAAAGAAACUACUUAUUUUAACCAUUUGAAACUUUGUGAGAGACCAGAUUGCUUUCUGGGAAGGUUGUAAUGCCAUGGAUCAAGGAGACCCUCUUCCCCUGUGAUGCGUGUGCCACCAGCCAGAGAAGCUGCAUGAUCUUUUUCAUUCUUCCUCGUUUUCUUCUCUUAACAUUUAACACUUUCAAAUUACUGUUUAUUUUAGAAAAUAAAGGUCUUUGAAG
RNAcentral lists this long non-coding RNA (878 nucleotides) under Struthio camelus australis. RNAcentral's name for it is "lncRNA (ENSSCUG00000014807.1)". The record is from RNAcentral. Lineage: Eukaryota; Metazoa; Chordata; Aves; Struthioniformes; Struthionidae.